RNAcentral lists this long non-coding RNA (923 nucleotides) under Phaseolus vulgaris (common bean). Its description in RNAcentral is "long non-coding RNA (PVUL_LNC001065)". Lineage: Eukaryota; Viridiplantae; Streptophyta; Magnoliopsida; Fabales; Fabaceae. The record is from RNAcentral.
AAAAAAGGCAGCCAUCAUGUGCUUUUGAAUUCUGGUUCAUUUUCAGAUCUUUUCUGUCAUGGUUGGUUCAGUUUCAGUGUCCUAUAUAUCAUUCUGGUUUUCACUGUUUUCAAUCAUUGGAUCGAAAUUUCUCAUGAUGAUUCUCAAGAUCUCAUGUGUCCGUCUAUAUAUAUAGGAUCUGUUUUAGGGUUUUCAUGGACAAUGUGUUAGACUUUUAACCGCUAUAUGCAUGAUAGCUCUUCUUUCCUUCAUAUCUGUUUACAAAUAGAACAAAGCAAAAUGACUAAAAACUUAAAGGGAAAUUUUCUUUUCAAUUCUCCAUAGCACACAGAUUAAUUACUGUAAGAUCAUCUCCAUUGAUUUUCAAAAUGUUCUUCUAUUUGUGUGCGGGUGCAUUCGUGUUACAGAACUUCAUGUCGUGUGGAUCUCCACUGCCUCAGCUUUACCAAUUAUUCAAUUAUUGUUCUUUUUCGUCCCUUUAAUUUCUCUUUUCAUCAUUUUCAGCAAUAAAUUCCUUGUGAGUGGAAGACAUUGAUGUAUAAGGAUAGUAAGUUGAAGCAUAUAGUGUGACAAAAUAUUCUGUAGAAUAGAUUCUAUUUUAUUGCUAUCUUUUCUUUCUUUAUAAAAGGAGACGUCUUUCUGCUGUCUUUUGAAAAUCUUUCGAAUCUCUCUUUAUCUUAUCUUAUACUAAAUAUAUCCCCUUGCCUCAUGUUAUCAAAUUAAUUCUAAUUAAGUUUAACUUAAUAACAAAUGAUUCUUUUUUUUUUUCGGCAAAGAAUAACAAAUGAUUCUUAGUUAAGCAUUUAGGUUAAUCAAAUCUUAUUAUAACAAUUAUCUUCCAGGAUAUAUCCUAGUUAUUUUCUAUAAUUCCAUUUAUUUGUAUUAUUGUGUAUGGUAAUGUAUUAAAAAAAUAUGGUGUAUAU